RNAcentral lists this ribosomal RNA (22 nucleotides) under Pseudocyphellaria crocata. Its description in RNAcentral is "partial small subunit ribosomal RNA". Lineage: Eukaryota; Fungi; Ascomycota; Lecanoromycetes; Peltigerales; Lobariaceae. The record is from RNAcentral.
UGAACCUGCGGAAGGAUUGUUA